Long non-coding RNA from Myotis davidii, 907 nucleotides. RefSeq lists it as uncharacterized. The record is from RefSeq and is a predicted model, not a curated record. The transcript is spliced from 3 exons. Lineage: Eukaryota; Metazoa; Chordata; Mammalia; Chiroptera; Vespertilionidae.
AGGACCAGUAGUGCAGAGGCCCCGAGGUGAGGUGGGCAGGUGUGCUGGCAGCUCUGUGUGGCCAUCUGGAGAGAGCACAGGACCUGAGGCCGCAGACACAAGUGGUGGCUGGGAGAGGAGGCAGAUCACAGAGCCACGUCAUGGCCAUGUGAAGGACCUUGGCCUUCGUCAGAGAAUGCGGAGCCACUGCAGGCUCUGAGCAGAGGUUUCCUGGAACAAAUCAGAACAUCUUCUGAAGAUGACACACCUUCCAGUAUGUGGACAACGACACGAGGGUCUCCAGCAUUUCCAGCAGGGCCCCAGUUUAUCAUCUCUGACUUUUACAGCAGGAAGAUCUGGGUGUUGGGGAAUCCUGCGCUGGAAAAUCAGAUUGGCUGAUUUUCACAGGGACUUACAAGGCAAGUGGAAAAGACCCAAGCGACUAAAUACCCAGAAGGUAUCUGAGGAUCAAUAAUGCAGUCAUCACAGCUAACCAUGGAAGGGCACAGCACACCUGAGGCUGUUGGUUGCCUCUUCACAGAGCCAUCCUCACUGGCCUGGAAUGUAUGGCAGCCCUUGCUUCAGAGGACGCACUGAGGCCAGAGCUCUGUGACUCUCAGGACCCCUGACAGCUUGCCCUGGGGACACAAGGCCCAGGCCUGUUUCUGGACAAUGACUUUCUUCUUCCUGCUUCCUUCUCCCUCUCUCUUCCUUCUUUUUAAAUACUAGUAACAGCCUUAUUGAGGUCUAAUCCACAUGCCACACAGUUCACCUUCCUAGCAUGUAUCAUUCAAUGGUUCUAGUAUGUUCACAGAUAUGUGCCACCAUCAUCACCACAGUCAAUUUUUAAGAGAUUUUCAUCACUCUCCCCCAAAAUCCCAUACACAUUAGAAGUGUUCCCCUUCCUCAAUCCUGAACCCAUCAUUGG